Molecule: ribosomal RNA, 301 nt
Filed under: uncultured bacterium
Lineage: Bacteria
Description: partial 16S ribosomal RNA
Rfam family: Bacterial small subunit ribosomal RNA
Source: RNAcentral
CAGUCGCCGCGGUAAUACGUAGGGUGCAAGCGUUAAUCGGAAUUACUGGGCGUAAAGCGUGCGCAGGCGGUUAUAUAAGACAGUCGUGAAAUCCCCGGGCUCAACCUGGGAACUGCGAUUGUGACUGUAUGGCUAGAGUGUGUCAGAGGGGGGUAGAAUUCCACGUGUAGCAGUGAAAUGCGUAGAUAUGUGGAGGAAUACCGAUGGCGAAGGCAGCCCCCUGGGAUAACACUGACGCUCAUGCACGAAAGCGUGGGGAGCAAACAGGAUUAGAUACCCCAGUAGUCCCUGUCUCUUAUAA